Long non-coding RNA from Drosophila montana, 520 nucleotides. RefSeq lists it as uncharacterized. The transcript has 4 exons. The record is from RefSeq and is a predicted model, not a curated record. Lineage: Eukaryota; Metazoa; Arthropoda; Insecta; Diptera; Drosophilidae.
UCAUAUUUAUCGGUUGUCUUGUCGUCGCGUGUGUACAAAAAUCGGUGUUUUAACAAAGUUAACUUAGCUGCUUAAUAUUAAACGCGAUUAGUAUGUGUUAUGAUGUGCGUGUUAUUACAAACUACUCUAAAUCUGUGUUCGUUCUGUUCUUCGCGCUUGAGGGUACAUUUUUGUGUCGUUUAAUUUUUAGUGCUGAGCUUUCUUCUUCACAACAAAUUGGCGAGCGUUUUGCCUCUGCAACCGAAGAGAAUGAGAGGAGAAAGAGAGAGUGAGACCAAGAGAACAACAGAAAACUUUUCUUAAUCCGAUAUUUUCGAAACCUUCAAAAUAUAUCUAUAAAAUUAAGUGAAAUAAUUAAAGUGAGGAUGAAAAUCUUUCUCCUUUCUCCUACUAAAAGAUGGCAAUCAAAUAAUUGUGCGUAUGUGUAUUUUUGGACUCGAUUCAGAUGGGUUUGUAAGAUGGUUUAGAACCGGUUCAUUAAAAUGAUUCAAAAUUGUUAAACUACUGUCUUAUGGCUCAG